Molecule: ribosomal RNA, 433 nt
Filed under: uncultured bacterium
Lineage: Bacteria
Description: partial 16S ribosomal RNA
Rfam family: Bacterial small subunit ribosomal RNA
Source: RNAcentral
AACGAACGCUGGCGGCAUGCCUAACACAUGCAAGUCGAACGAGACCUUCGGGUCUAGUGGCGCACGGGUGCGUAACGCGUGGGAACCUGCCCUUAGGUUCGGAAUAACUCCCCGAAAGGGGUGCUAAUACCGGAUAAUGUCUCCGGCCCAAAGAUUUAUCGCCUUUGGAUGGGCCCGCGUUGGAUUAGCUAGUUGGUAGGGUAAAAGCCUACCAAGGCGCCGAUCCAUAGCUGGUCUGAGAGGAUGAUCAGCCACACUGGGACGGAGACACGGCCCAGACUCCUACGGGAGGAAGCAGUGGGGAAUAUUGGACAAUGGGCGAAAGCCUGAUCCAGCAAUGCCGCGUGAGUGAUGAAGGCCUUAGGGUUGUAAAGCUCUUUUACCCGGGAUGAUAAUGACAGUACCGGGAGAAUAAGCCCCGGCUAACUCCGUG